Molecule: long non-coding RNA, 947 nt
Organism: Sapajus apella (tufted capuchin)
Lineage: Eukaryota; Metazoa; Chordata; Mammalia; Primates; Cebidae
Exons: 3
Source: RefSeq, a predicted model, not a curated record
AGCACAUGCCUAUGGUCACAGCUACUUGGGAGGCUGAGGUGGGAGGAUCACUUGAGUCCAGGAGGCUGCAGUGAGCUGUGAUUGUGCCAUUUGCCAUUUUAAUGGCAAAACCCGCAAUUACUCUUGCACCAACCUCAUCUCCUAUUUUCAAAAGCCUGGAAUUACACUCCUGGAUUCCAAUUUCAUAACUUUAUUGACAUUAGCGCAUAUUUGUAGAACAUACUUAUAUUUCAUUGAGUCAUAUGGUGAGGUUAGUUUUCUCUAGGGAUUUCACUUUGUCUUUGAUUUACUUUUGUAUUUAAAUUUAGGGAAUUUAUGUUUAGAUGUAUUUACUAUUGAUUAGGGCUGAGGUAAAAAAAGGGAUAGGCAGCUGAUACCCAUGAGGUAGGUGUCAAAAGUUUCUCUUCCUGACUCUUGCCUCAACAUGUCAUACAUUUCUGCACAUGUUUUGGUAAUGGUUCCAUUUUGCAGCCUCUUAACUUGAUUGUUUCGUAAUCUGUUUCUCAGUAUCUUCUUGCACUUUUGUGUCUCUUUUUUUUUUGUCUCUCCAUUAUAUCUUCCAUUCUCUUUUUUAUCUGCCUCCCUUUCUUAAUUGUCCAAAAUGUAGAGUUGACUCUUGAAGAAUGCAAGGCUUAGUGGCUGGUUUCCACCUCAAGGCCGUUGAAAAAUUGUGUAUAACCUUUUACUACCCAUAGACCUAACUACUAAUAGACUAUUGUUGAGCGGAAGCCUUACCAGUAACAUAGUCAGUUAACACAUAUUUUGUAUUAUGCAAAAAGCACAAAGAUUCUGCAUGUGCUGAUGUAGCUGCAUUGACAGUUUCAUGAAUUUUCUCUUUUAAUUAUAAUUAUUAUUUUUUUUUACUAUGGUCCUUUUGCUGAAUUCAUUUAUCUUGAAAUGGUGCACAUCCACAGCUGUAGACUUCAAUCUGGUUCUGGUCCUGUGCU